RNAcentral lists this long non-coding RNA (2253 nucleotides) under Oncorhynchus mykiss (rainbow trout). RNAcentral's name for it is "lncRNA (ENSOMYG00000069387.1)". Lineage: Eukaryota; Metazoa; Chordata; Actinopteri; Salmoniformes; Salmonidae. The record is from RNAcentral.
AUGAGCGGAAAACGGAAACUGAGUUUAAAGUGGUUUGGAAUUCUCCCUAACUUCUCCUUCCGUCGCAGCUCAUUGUCUGACAAAUUCGACUCCAAGUCCUCCUCCGCCGAGCCUGAUGGGGCUGUGGAGACGUUUUUUAACGACAUGGAUAUGAUGCAUCCAUGCACAUCCAGCUCCAGCGACAACUACACCCACAUGGGCACCUUUCCCCGCUUCCUCCUCAGGAAGAGAGACAAGAGUGGGAAUUCUGGGAAGAGAGAGACCAAGAAGAUCAAGGAGAAGACCGGGGCAAGGCUGGGCAGGAGUCAGAGCCAGCGGCCGGCAGGGGACCAUGUGUGUAGCUCUCACCUGCUCAUGGCACAAUCCAGCCGGCCUGGCUCCAGAAAGGACCAGCCUCUCUCACCUUUAUCCACCCAGGCUGGUCCUGAUCCAAGGCCCCAACGGGACCAAGGGCUGCCUCCCAUCCCCAGAGGAGGAUCACUCGAUAGGAAUGAACACGGAGACCCACAGGCCCACUGUGAGGAAGAAGAACCACACCAAGGGCAGCUUAUGUCAGCUCAGGAUGUGGGGUCUAGUACCUCUAACGCCCCGCCGCUCACUUGUGAAGACGUCUCCAAAGAACGCGCAUUCACCACUGAUCAGGGUGCAUCUUCAGAUACAGCUUCAACUGGUGGGGCUAGAAGGAACCUUGCUACUGUUCCUGAGCCACCUCCAACCCCCAAGCUUCUAAAGAAAACCUUGCAGCAGCCUGGGACCCUUGUCACUCAUCAGAUCGAGGAGGGCCUCCCCAUGAAGAGAGCCGAUAACCUGGGUACAGACAGUAACUCUAGCCCCCUGCCUGAGAGGGCCUCCAGUGGUUCUACUGAUAGAGACCUGGGAGAGGGCCUUCAGAGGGAAAGCCAGGCUGUUAAACCUGUGGACAGUCACAUGGACCAUAUAGACAACAAGACUGAAUAUGUCAAGGUAAGACUUGUUUUUUUAUUUAUUUUUAUUCCUCCUACACUAUGUCUUUCUGUUAGUUUGUAGGCCGGUUCUGCUAGCAUCAUGGUUCCUACUCAGAAGGCCCAGAAAUGGCUUCAGCAUCUGCGAAAAGGAAGGGACUAAGAGUUAAAAACCCAUCUGAGCAAGGGGUAACCAUUUAGCAUCAGUGUGAGUUGGUCUUUUCCAGUUGAUCUCCUCACCCUGCUUUGGCUUUGUAGUGAGGUUUAAGGGGACCUAUAGUUGAGCUCCUGACUCCAGGACCAGUGUUUGUAAUUGAAUUAGGAUCAGUAGCACAAAGAGGCUCUGCCCCCCCCGCUCCGCUCUGCUACAGUCGAAUGGCUGCUGAUGAAUGAUGUUUGUUUCCAUGGGCAACUGAGCAGGAAGCAGGAUCUUGGCCAAAGGCCUUGUUUCUAAACAAAUUAGUUGUGGAGUACCUACCUACACAUGCCUAACUCUCCAAACCUUCUCUUGUUUUGCAUUUUUUUACUUCUUUUUUAAAAAUAUAUAAGUUGAACUGUUUUAGAGUAAGUGACUUCACAAACCAUAAUGUAGUACUCUGCAGAAUUCAGACUUGAGGGUCUUAAAAAAAAGAAGCAAUUUUCUCUAGUUAUAUUGGAUUUGUGGUCUUUGAAAUGUAAUUCUAGUUGAUUACAUUCCUGCGCUUCUGCGAUUAUGCCCAUUUCAGCAGUCUCUCUCAGCGUUUUAGCCUAAUUCAUUCUGCCAUUUAGGAAAUGUAAUCCAAAAUCAACAGCGCUGCUUCAGCACUUCUGGGUCCCAGUGUGCUGGGUGUAGUUCAGGACCAGGCCACUAGAUGACACUGUAAGCCUGGUUUCUGGGUUGAAUCCAUCCACAAAAGUGCUCAGUUCUGACUGAACACUUGGGAUCCAUUGUCUGUUUUUCGUUGGAACUCAAAAAGAACUGGUGUCAGAAGCAAGUACUAACACUGACCCAUAUAUCCAUCUGGUGUAAAACAGUCUCUAUCGCUCUCUGUGCAGUGAUACCUCUCCCCUUCCAGUUUCCUCACCCACCCAUACUCACCCUCCUCCCCUCUCCUCUCCUCCUCUCCACUUCCCCUCCUCUGAGCCUCUCCUCUCUCUUUCUCCUCCUCUCUCACCCUCCUCCCCUAUCCUCUCCUCCUCUCCACUUCCCCUCCUCUGAGCCUCUCCUCUCUCUUUCUCCUCCUCUCUCACCCUCCUCCCCUCUGAUGCCCCGUGUUGCCGUCCCUCGUUUUCUCAACACGCUUCUCUCUGAAACAUUUAUGACACUUAUGUU